CGGACGGGUGAGUAACACGUGGAUAACCUACCUAUAAGACUGGGAUAACUUCGGGAAACCGGAGCUAAUACCGGAUAACAUGUUGAACCGCAUGGUUCAACAGUGAAAGACGGUCUUGCUGUCACUUAUAGAUGGAUCCGCGCCGCAUUAGCUAGUUGGUAAGGUAACGGCUUACCAAGGCAACGAUGCGUAGCCUACCUGAGAGGGUGAUCGGCCACACUGGAACUGAGACACGGUCCAG
This 241-nucleotide ribosomal RNA is filed under the name uncultured Staphylococcus sp. RNAcentral describes it as "partial 16S ribosomal RNA". It matches the Rfam family "Bacterial small subunit ribosomal RNA", at positions 99 to 334 of the family's 1533-position model. The record is from RNAcentral. Lineage: Bacteria; Bacillati; Bacillota; Bacilli; Caryophanales; Staphylococcaceae.